RNAcentral lists this ribosomal RNA (424 nucleotides) under uncultured Bacteroides sp. Its description in RNAcentral is "bacterial SSU rRNA". It matches the Rfam family "Bacterial small subunit ribosomal RNA", at positions 338 to 779 of the family's 1533-position model. Lineage: Bacteria; Pseudomonadati; Bacteroidota; Bacteroidia; Bacteroidales; Bacteroidaceae. The record is from RNAcentral.
CCUACGGGAGGCAGCAGUCGGGAAUAUUGCGCAAUGGAGGAAACUCUGACGCAGUGACGCCGCGUGCAGGAAGAAGGUUUUCGGAUUGUAAACUGCUUUAGACAGGGAAGAAAAAGACAGUACCUGUAGAAUAAGCUCCGGCUAACUACGUGCCAGCAGCCGCGGUAAUACGUAGGGAGCAAGCGUUAUCCGGAUUUAUUGGGUGUAAAGGGUGCGUAGACGGGAAAAUAAGUUAGUUGUGAAAUCCCCAUGCUUAACAUGGGAACUGCAACUAAAACUGUUUUUCUUGAGUGCUGGAGAGGAAAGUGGAAUUCCUAGUGUAGCGGUGAAAUGCGUAGAUAUUAGGAGGAACACCAGUGGCGAAGGCGACUUUCUGGACAGUAACUGACGUUGAGGCACGAAAGUGUGGGGAGCAAACAGGAUU